Molecule: ribosomal RNA, 253 nt
Filed under: uncultured bacterium
Lineage: Bacteria
Description: partial 16S ribosomal RNA
Rfam family: Bacterial small subunit ribosomal RNA
Source: RNAcentral
UACGUAGGGUGCGAGCGUUAAUCGGAAUUACUGGGCGUAAAGCGUGCGCAGGCGGUUUUGUAAGACAGAUGUGAAAUCCCCGGGCUUAACCUGGGAACUGCGUUUGUGACUGCAAGACUAGAGUGCGGCAGAGGGGGGUGGAAUUCCACGUGUAGCAGUGAAAUGCGUAGAGAUGUGGAGGAACACCGAUGGCGAAGGCAGCCCCCUGGGUCGACACUGACGCUCAUGCACGAAAGCGUGGGUAGCAAACAGG